Molecule: ribosomal RNA, 415 nt
Filed under: uncultured bacterium
Lineage: Bacteria
Description: bacterial SSU rRNA
Rfam family: Bacterial small subunit ribosomal RNA
Source: RNAcentral
AACGAACGCUGGCGGCAGGCCUAACACAUGCAAGUCGAGCGAACCCUUCGGGGUUAGCGGCGGACGGGUUAGUAACGCGUGGGAAUAUACCCUUUGGUACGGAAUAGCCUCGGGAAACUGAGAGUAAUACCGUAUGUGCCCUUCGGGGGAAAGAUUAUCGCCAAAGGAUUAGCCCGCGUUGGAUUAGAUAGUUGGUGGGGUAAUGGCCUACCAAGUCUACGAUCCAUAGCUGGUUUGAGAGGAUGAUCAGCAACACUGGGACGUGAGACACGGCCCAGACUCCUACGGGAGGCAGCAGUGGGGAAUCUUAGACAAUGGGCGCAAGCCUGAUCUAGCCAUGCCGCGUGGACGAUGAAGGCCUUAGGGUUGUAAAGUCCUUUCAGAUGGGAAGAUAAUGACGGUACCAUCAGAAGAA